Molecule: ribosomal RNA, 627 nt
Filed under: bacterium SVAL1.18
Lineage: Bacteria
Description: bacterial SSU rRNA
Rfam family: Bacterial small subunit ribosomal RNA
Source: RNAcentral
GCAGUCGAACGGGAUUCGGUCCUUCGGGAUCGAUGAGAGUGGCGCACGGGUGCGUAACGCGUAUGCAACCUGCCUUCUACAGGGGGAUAGCCCGGGGAAACCCGGAUUAAUACCCCAUGGCAUCAUAUAUCUGCAUGGGUUUUAUGAUUAAAGCUUUCGGGCGGUAGAAGAUGGGCAUGCGUAGGAUUAGCUAGUUGGCGGGGUAACGGCCCACCAAGGCGACGAUCCUUAGGGGUUCUGAGAGGAAGGUCCCCCACACUGGCACUGAGAUACGGGCCAGACUCCUACGGGAGGCAGCAGUAGGGAAUAUUGGGCAAUGGUCGGAAGACUGACCCAGCCAUGCCGCGUGCAGGAAGACGGCGUUCUGCGUUGUAAACUGCUUUUAUCUGGGAAGAAAACGCCACUGCGGUGGAACUUGCCGGUACCAGAUGAAUAAGCACCGGCUAACUCCGUGCCAGCAGCCGCGGUAAUACGGAGGGUGCAAGCGUUGUCCGGAUUUAUUGGGUUUAAAGGGUGCGUAGGCGGCCUGUUAAGUCAGCGGUGAAAGUUUUCGGCUCAACCGGAAAAUUGCCGUUGAUACUGGCGGGCUUGAGUGUUGAUGGGGUAUCCGGAAUUGAUGGUGUAGCG